AAAAACAUCGCCUCCCGACCCCAUGGGAGGUCCAGCCUGCCCAGUGAUAAUUAUUAAACGGCCGCGGUACCCUAACCGUGCGAAGGUAGCGCAAUCACUUGUUUCCUAAAUAGGGACUAGUAUGAACGGCAUCACGAGGGUUACACUGUCUCCCUCUUUCAAUCAGUGAAACUGAUCUCCCCGUGAAGAAGCGGGGAUAGACCUAUAAGACGAGAAGACCCCAUGGAGCUUUAAACUCAACAUCUAACUAUUUUUACCACACCAUGUUAACUAAAUAGCCCUGAAUGCUAGUUUUUGGUUGGGGCGACCGCGGAGUAAAAUUAAACCUCCACGACGAAAGGAAAGCACCCUAAUUUUAGACAAAAAAAUCUACGUGUUUUGAGUUCAGACGGGAGUGGCCCGUUUCCAAAACCAUCUACGUGAUCUGAGUUCAGACCGGAGUCGCCUGUUUACCAAAAACAUCUACGUGAUCUGAGUUCAGACCGGAGUCGCCUGUUUACCAAAAACAUCUACGUGAUCUGAG
This 523-nucleotide ribosomal RNA is filed under the name Otophryne steyermarki. Its description in RNAcentral is "partial 16S ribosomal RNA". It matches the Rfam family "Bacterial large subunit ribosomal RNA", at positions 1809 to 2363 of the family's 2925-position model. Lineage: Eukaryota; Metazoa; Chordata; Amphibia; Anura; Microhylidae. The record is from RNAcentral.